This 343-nucleotide ribosomal RNA is filed under the name uncultured Anoxybacillus sp. RNAcentral describes it as "bacterial SSU rRNA". It matches the Rfam family "Bacterial small subunit ribosomal RNA", at positions 1036 to 1382 of the family's 1533-position model. Lineage: Bacteria; Bacillati; Bacillota; Bacilli; Caryophanales; Anoxybacillaceae. The record is from RNAcentral.
AGGUGGUGCAUGGUGUCGUCAGCUCGUGUCGUGAGAUGUUGGGUUAAGUCCCGCAACGAGCGCAACCCUCGACCUUAGUUGCCAGCAUUCAGUUGGGCACUCUAAGGUGACUGCCGGCUAAAAGUCGGAGGAAGUGGGGAUGACGUCAAAUCAUCAUGCCCCUUAUGACCUGGGCUACACACGUGCUACAAUGGGCGGUACAAAGGGUCGCGAACCCGCGAGGGGGAGCCAAUCCCAAAAAGCCGCUCUCAGUUCGGAUUGCAGGCUGCAACUCGCCUGCAUGAAGUUGGAAUCGCUAGUAAUCGCGGAUCAGCAUGCCGCGGUGAAUACGUUCCCGGGCCUU